Long non-coding RNA from Alosa alosa (allis shad), 324 nucleotides. RefSeq lists it as uncharacterized. Lineage: Eukaryota; Metazoa; Chordata; Actinopteri; Clupeiformes; Clupeidae. The transcript has 2 exons. The record is from RefSeq and is a predicted model, not a curated record.
CGUGAUCUUUUGUAGGCUAUCGCGGGCGGGCUCUGCUAUCGCAUAUCAACGCCUAGUUGGAGCCAGCAGGCAGAUUGCCACAGCAAAGGAACUGCUAAAAGAGAGUACUUGGCCUCGGUUGAAUAAGUUGAUACUGACAUUUCGAAACAGCACCCAAUUCGUUACAACUUCAUUUAUGGGAGGCACAGGUUGUUGGACUGCAAAAUAAUUGGACUGCCAAGAGAGCCAUAGACUGAGGCUGAACCAGUAUCAGGAUGUAAGGUGUGGACUGUGAAUGCACCACUGCUAAAACUGCACUCCUUAAUAAAAGGACAUGAAUGUGGA